GGGGAUUUAGCUCAGUGGUAGAGCGCUUGCCUAGCAAGCGCAAGGCCCUGGGUUCGAUCCCCAACUCCG
RNAcentral lists this transfer RNA (69 nucleotides) under Rattus norvegicus (Norway rat). It matches the Rfam family "tRNA". Rfam says of the family: Transfer RNA (tRNA) molecules are approximately 80 nucleotides in length. Their secondary structure includes four short double-helical elements and three loops (D, anti-codon, and T loops). The record is from Rfam by way of RNAcentral. Lineage: Eukaryota; Metazoa; Chordata; Mammalia; Rodentia; Muridae.